CCACGAUGAAGAACGUAGCGAAAUGCGAUACUUGGUGUGAAUUGCAGAAUCCCGUGAACCAUCAAGUUUUUGAACGCAAGUUGCGCCCGAGGCCACCAGGCCAAGGGCACGCCUGCCUGGGCGUCACGCUUUGCGUCGCUCCCCCACCUCCUUGCCCAUACGGGCUU
Molecule: ribosomal RNA, 167 nt
Filed under: Illicium micranthum
Lineage: Eukaryota; Viridiplantae; Streptophyta; Magnoliopsida; Austrobaileyales; Schisandraceae
Description: 5.8S ribosomal RNA
Rfam family: 5.8S ribosomal RNA (bases 4-126)
About the family: 5.8S ribosomal RNA (5.8S rRNA) is a component of the large subunit of the eukaryotic ribosome.
Source: RNAcentral